UUAAAAAAAUUUCCUUUAGAGUAUUUUUUAAAGGUAAUUUUUGCUCAAUGAUUUUUUAAAUAGCUGCAGUAUUCUGACUGUACAAAGGUAGCAUAAUAAUUAGUUCAUUUAUUGUGAACUGGAAUGAAUGAAUAUAUGAGAUACCUAUUUUAUUUAAUUUAGUAUUAAAAUUUUAUUUUUGGGUAAAAAAGCCUAAUAAAUUUAUAGGGACGAUAAGACCCUAUAGAGGUUUAAUUCUAAUUUUAUAUUAUGAUUAUUUUGAAAUUUAAUUUUAAAUUUAUAUACUUAUAAUUUUUUUUGGGGCGGGAGAUAAAUUUAAACUUUAUUUUUUUUUUUCACUAAUUUGUGUUUAAGUUGAUCCAGUUUUUAAUUGAUUAAAAGAAAUAGCUACCUUAGGGAUAACAGCGUAAUUUCAAUGAGGAGUUCUUAUUUAUAUUGGAGUUUGCGACCUCGAUGUUGAAUUAAGAGAAGAUUUUGGGGUAGUUUUUAAUUUUCUAAGUCUGUUCGACUUUUAAAUUCUUACAUGAUCUGGUUC
This 535-nucleotide ribosomal RNA is filed under the name Igerna priyankae. Its description in RNAcentral is "partial 16S ribosomal RNA". Lineage: Eukaryota; Metazoa; Arthropoda; Insecta; Hemiptera; Cicadellidae. The record is from RNAcentral.